Molecule: long non-coding RNA, 925 nt
Filed under: Androctonus crassicauda
Lineage: Eukaryota; Metazoa; Arthropoda; Arachnida; Scorpiones; Buthidae
Source: RNAcentral
UUUGAAAACCGUAAGAAAAUCAUGGAUUAAAAGACGAAUAUGUUUUAUUAUUAACUGUUAAUAGAUCAGUCGAUGAAAUAGCGGUGACAUUUGGAUUUAACAGGAGUUGAACUUUUGUUUUAUGAAUUUUUAUCCAACCAGUAGUUUUCCGGGAAUGUGUUGCCUUGGUAAAACAAGAUACCUAUAUAUAAAUUUAUGUAUACAAUACUGUCAGUUAUUAUUAUUAUUGAUAAAAACCAGCCCUACUAGACGGAUAUUGGUUAAAGACCAAAAAUUGAAUAACCGAAGAAGUUUAUGGCUGUUAAAAGCCCUCUUCAGUCGUAUACAAGUUAAAACAAAGAUUGAAUGGGAAAAAUCGUUAUUUUAAUUUCACGGAGGGAAGUAAAACGUGUUGUUUUAACUGGUAUACAACCCACCGGGGCUUUCUUCGGAGCCAAAAACUUUUCUGCCCUUAUUCAGUUUUUGUGUUUAACGAAUGUUUUUGUUAAUUUAGUGCCAACGGUCAAGAAACUAUUGGCCAUUUUUAGUAUUACGAAUAUAAUUUCGUUACGUUUUUCUACAGAAAUAAGCAUUAACGUUAUAUCAUCCUAAUUUUUAAAAAAGAAAAAAACUUGGAGAACAACAGCUAUUCGCCGAUCGAAUUCCACAUUCUAUUCCUCAUGUUUUUUCGGAGAGAUCCGAGUCUGGAUCAUUGAUUUUCAGUUCUCGAUACGUCCUCGACGUGGCGAGUACGACCAGUCCACCAACGGUUUCUAACUUCUCUUAUCUUUUCUGUAGAUUUAUUCUGGGAAUAAAAUUUCCAAAUGGCGUAAUCUAACUAAACUAAGAACUUAUACAAUAGCAAAAAACAAAUAUACUAGUCAUUUUCAUACAAAACAUAAGUGGUAAAUCAAUCUUUUCCGUUGUACUGUAUUUUGGGGUUGUG